UUACAGCCACGUUUAAACACCGGUUCCUCGUACGAUCACCGAAGUUAAGCAACGUUGUGCCUUGUCAGUAGUUUGAUGGCUGAUUGCUUAAGAAUACCAGCUACUGUAAG
This is a non-coding RNA of Acanthosepion pharaonis, 110 nucleotides long. Lineage: Eukaryota; Metazoa; Mollusca; Cephalopoda; Sepiida; Sepiidae. The record is from the annotation of a GenBank genome assembly.